GCAGUAGACUGGAAUAAUAUAUAAAUAAAGAUACCAAUGCCAAUCAAUACAUAAACUACCCAAGACUGGUGUCACAAAUCCACAGAUUGUCUAAGAAUACUACAAAUAAAGGUCCGAAGGAUUUAUUACAGCAUUGUUUUGAAAGUACAUAAAAGAAACAGAAUAAAAGGGAGAAGACGCCAAGGCCUGCGUACGGCUGCAGGACUACCUCAGAAUAUCCGAAUGGAUUGAAAGCAGUCACCCAAAGCUACAGUGUGUAUGCUCCAUUACCAGGAUCUGCAUACAAUGCAGAGUGUAGUAUCAACACAAGUGACCUCAUGUGUUUGUAAGUGCCUAUUUACUCUCGUCUUCACCAUGAGAAUCAAUAUAAUUGGCAUGGAAGUCAAUACCGUGCGGCAAAGCAUCACCCUUCGUGCUUUUACACUCUUCUUCACAAAAUCAUACACUAAUACUCUCUCACCAAAAUAAUGCACGGCAUCACCCUUUGGGCUUUAACACUCUUCUUUAUCGAAACAACAAUCACAAAAUAAUAAGGGCGAGGGAAUCAUCAAAUUUAUACUUAAAUCCUGGCAAGGGAACAAUAAUACAACAAUCAUAUCCCGAUAAGGGAGAUAAUAUCAAAAUAAUAACAUCCUGACAAUGGAGAUAACAUUAGCAAUAAUAUCCCAACAAGGGAGACAAUAUCAUAAUCCUCUUUUCUUUUUUACAUUUACUUCACAACUUGUUUCACAAUUUGAGCCAAUGAUCUAUAAGGUUUAUUUGCCAAUUGCACUUCCACAAUCACUUUACAAUUUGAGCCACUGCUCUUCAAUGUUCAAAUACCUAUAUUUCUUCCACGUGCCUUACUCAACAAUAGCAAUCAUCACAAUAAACAUGAGCAAUACAAAUGGGGUCACAUUAAUCAUAAUAUAAGACUCAAGGGCAUGCUCGACACCAACGUAUAGAUACUCAUCAUCAUGCCUAUAUAUCGUACUCAACAAUUAACACGUAACAAAUAGGACACGACUCCUAACUGUCACACCCCUUUCUUUUAACAAACUUCACUAAACCCUUUUAAAUUAAUAGAAAGAUUUGGUAAAGCUCAAAAGGGUUUUCAAUUAGAAAGUGACAAAAUUUUGUUCAAAAGGAAGUAACUCAGAAUCGACACCUGACAAUUUAUUUUGGUGUGUCAGGUCACCGUUUUUAAAAAUUAUUUUUCCUUUUAAAAUAUUUUAGACUCUAAAACCAAAUCUGCACCAGAGAUUUGGGUAAGGAAUUUCGAUGUUAGGCAUUUUCCAUGUCCCGUAACUAGUACGGUUGCGCACUUGAUCUAAUCGGUUUUUAAAAUAUCCAAGUUGGGGUAAAAAUAACAAAGAAAAUAAAAAAAAAUAAACACACAAAAGGUUCGAGGUCGUCCCUACCUAAUAAAAGAAAAUGAAAAGGAAAAGGAAAGAGAAGUCCUAAGCUAACCUAUACCACGACUUCUCCACCAUGCUCGUCAAGGUCUCCAAAAUAUUUACAUAGUUCUUCGGGAUAUACCCCGGAUAAUAAUAUUUACAAACUUCACAGGGCAUUCCCCGGAUAAAUUUAAUUAACGGGUAACCUAUCACCUUAAAACUAACAAAAUAUCUGAGACUUGCCUACUCAAACGUGAUCGGCCUAAGCAUACUCCUAAUGAAUACUAACAUCGAUAAAAAAGAUAAAAGGAACUAUGAAAGAACUAAGUAAAGGAACAAUUCAACUCAUGUCCAUGUCUUGUUUAUUAACUUUUAUUUUAUUAGACCGAGUCCAAUAUUUAAAGCAUGGAGAUAAAACAAUUACUAAUGAGCUUCGAUCUUUUCCCACUCCCCCGCGGUUCAAAAAAAGAUUUGUAGAGAAGAGAGAGAUUUUGUUACCUUUUGAUUUACCAGAAGCGGAAGAAGAAUUAGUAGCAUCGGGCAAGAUAUGCACCUCUUCAGGAAUGAAAAAAAAUCUAUCUACUUUCAUUUGGUAUUUUGGUCUAUGGUUGAAUAAUUGAAAAAUGAGAUUAUUCAGGAAUACACAUUGAAUGCUGAGAUUACGCAUUGAAUUUCUGGUAGUAGAUCCAUAAUCAAAAAAGUAUUAAUAUGGAAAUUCUAUUAUUUUCUAAAAUUAUUCAUUCAAAGAUUAUACAUCGAUCUAUUUUUAUCUAUCAUUAAUAUUCCCAGAAUUAAUACAAAACUCUUUCGGCAUACAAAAUGCCAAUCAAGUAAGGAAGAACGAAUUCCAAAUCACACCAGCAAAAGAGCAUAUGGAUUGACAACGAAAUAAAGGCAUGGUGGAUUAAAAUAUUAUAAGAGCCAUAUAAAUCUAGCCAACCCGCCUCACCUUUUCACUUUUCUGUAUUUUGUUAUAUCACAACAUGAACGACCAGUGGCUUAAACAUUCAAAUUGGUCACCUUAGAGUUAGAAAACAAAGACAUCUUUAACCAAAUAGUAACGACAGAUACUGCAGGAAUACUAAGUGAUGCUCACACCAAAUAAUAUGUCAUUUUCAUAAUUAACUUAACAUUUUCGGACCAAGCAGGGUGCAAACCAAUCUUAACAGCGUUUAACACAAAUGUCCUGAACCUAAACCCUGUGAAUAUUGUGAGAUUAACAUAAGCAUACAAGCCAAGAAAAUAUGUCAAUUCGGUCACUGUUAGUUCAAACUUUCAUGCUUAACUUCACAAGGAUUAACGUUUUCCUUUAUCACUUAAGCGCAAGGAUAUCAAGGCACACAAACAGAGCAUCAAUUUCAGUUCUUAAUGUGCAACCAAGUUAGCAAAUGCCGUAAUUCUCAUUCAGAUCUCAAACCAAAACUAUCAUGAAUUCGAUCUGCUUACCCGUAACAAAGUAGAUCAAAAACUCAAUUGGAGACCAGAUUUGAAAAUGUCGAAAAGAUAUCCAUAAGAACGCGUAAUAAACUCAUUCACAAGCUGAACAAACCACCAGAAAGCAAUUAAAUAAAAAACAAAUAGCCACAAUCUCUACGAAUCCAUAUUAAUAAUUUCUGAGGAUCGAUCCAAAAUAAGUAGGUCAAGGCAAAUAGGGAAUGAACCUGUUUGGGGCGAAUUUUCCUUAAAUAACAGAAGGAGAUUCAGUGAUAAUUCAACUUCAAUUUCCAGAAUUCAAACGAGAUACAGCUUCGAAAUCGGACAAAAAUCUCAAACAGGAACUCGAAACGGCACUGGAAUCUCGAAUGCGAAGACUGACUCCAACUCGUACUUCAGUCCAUUUAUAUGUUGUAGCUGAGAUUGAAAUCGAGGGAAGCAACAGAUUUUAUUUUUUUUAAUAUGUUGGAAACGAAAACAGAAAUCCAAAGAAGAAUCUGGAAAUCCCAAAAUUAAACCCUAGAACCCCUUCCUUCCGAUUUUUCUCAAAAUUUCUCCCCUAUUUUUUUUGUCCAGUCCCCAAAAUCUGAGAAACCGCCCCAAUAUACGGGGUCUCGAACCUUCUAUACUUCCUCACCAAAAAAUUGAUUUUUUAUUUCCAAAUCCGAAAAAAA
This 3484-nucleotide long non-coding RNA is filed under the name Nicotiana benthamiana. RNAcentral's name for it is "long non-coding RNA (NBEN_LNC015538)". Lineage: Eukaryota; Viridiplantae; Streptophyta; Magnoliopsida; Solanales; Solanaceae. The record is from RNAcentral.